UACGUAGGGUGCGAGCGUUAAUCGGAAUUACUGGGCGUAAAGCGUGCGCAGGCGGUUAUGUAAGACAGAUGUGAAAUCCCCGGGCUCAACCUGGGAACUGCAUUUGUGACUGCAUAGCUAGAGUACGGUAGAGGGGGAUGGAAUUCCGCGUGUAGCAGUGAAAUGCGUAGAGAUCGAGCGGAACACCAGUGGCGAAGGCGAGUUCCUGGACAAGUCCUGACGCUGAGGCACGAAAGCCAGGGGAGCAAACAGG
Molecule: ribosomal RNA, 253 nt
Filed under: uncultured bacterium
Lineage: Bacteria
Description: partial 16S ribosomal RNA
Rfam family: Bacterial small subunit ribosomal RNA
Source: RNAcentral